GCCGGGUGUGGUGGCUCACACCUGUAAUCCUAGCACUUUGGGAGGCUGAGAAGGGUGGAUCAUCUGAGGUCAGGAGUUCGAGACCAGCCUGGCCUACAUGGUGAAACCCCAUCUCUA
Papio anubis (olive baboon) is the source of this 117-nucleotide unclassified non-coding RNA. It matches the Rfam family "Metazoan signal recognition particle RNA". Rfam says of the family: The signal recognition particle (SRP) is a universally conserved ribonucleoprotein. It is involved in the co-translational targeting of proteins to membranes. The record is from Ensembl. NCBI's taxonomy places the organism in Eukaryota, Metazoa, Chordata, Mammalia, Primates, Cercopithecidae.